This 22-nucleotide microRNA is filed under the name Eptesicus fuscus (big brown bat). RNAcentral's name for it is "efu-miR-9207". Lineage: Eukaryota; Metazoa; Chordata; Mammalia; Chiroptera; Vespertilionidae. The record is from miRBase by way of RNAcentral.
CAGGGCAUUGGGGCUUCCUUCG